UUUUUUGUUUGGGUAGGGGAGCGUCGUGCAUGUGUUGAAGCGUUACCGUAAGGAGGCGUGGAGUGUGUGCGAGUGAGAAUGCAGGCAUGAGUAACGAAUUGGAAGGUGAGAAUCCUUCCCGCCGGAUGACUAAGGGUUCCUGGGUCAAGUUCGUCUUCCCAGGGUGAGUCGGGACCUAAGGCGAGGCCGACAGGCGUAGUCGAUGGAUAACCAGUUGAUAUUCUGGUACCCGUAUAUCCGCGCCCAUGAUAAAGCACUGAUACUAACCACCGCGGAUACGAUUGAUGUGUUCUUUGAACACGUUGGUUGUUGAUGUCGUGGGGCCUGAUGUGUGGUUCAAGUGAUGGGGUGACACAGUGUAGUAGCCAUGCCGCUUAAUGGAUUGUUGGUGUAAGCGUGUGAGGUGGUGUGUAGGUAAAUCCGCAUGCUGUUAAACCUGAGGCGUGAUGCGUAGCCCAAUUGGGGUGAAGUUGGUGAUCUAGUACUGUCGAGAAAAGCCUCUAGCGAUGUGGAUGUAUGGCCCGUACCCUAAACCGACACAGGUGGUCAGGUUGAAAAUACUAAGGCGUUCGGGUGAACUGUGGUUAAGGAACUCGGCAAAAUGCCCCCGUAACUUCGGGAGAAGGGGGACCACACGACUUAAGCACUCCUUGCGAGUGUGGUGGGUUGUGGGGUCGCAGAGAAUAGAGGGAAGCGACUGUUUAUCAAAAACACAGGUCCAUGCGAAGACGUGAAGUUGAUGUAUAUGGACUGACGCCUGCCCGGUGCUGGAAGGUUAAGAGGACCGGUUAGUAGUCUUUGACUGCGAAGCUGAGAAUUUAAGCCCCAGUAAACGGCGGUGGUAACUAUAACCAUCCUAAGGUAGCGAAAUUCCUUGUCGGGUAAGUUCCGACCUGCACGAAUGGCGUAACGACUUCUCUGCUGUCUCAACCACAGGCCCGGUGAAAUUGCACUACGAGUAAAGAUGCUCGUUACGCGCGGCAGGACGAAAAGACCCCGGGACCUUCACUAUAGCUUGGUAUUGGUGUUCGGUUCGGUUUGUGUAGGAUAGGUGGGAGACUAUGAAGCGGCCACGCUAGUGGUUGUGGAGUCGUUGUUGAAAUACCACUCUGAUCGGAUUGGAUGUCUAACCUUGGCCCAUGAUCUGGGUUGGGGACAGUGCCUGGUGGGUAGUUUAACUGGGGCGGUUGCCUCCCAAAAUGUAACGGAGGCGCCCAAAGGUUCCCUCAGCCUGGUUGGCAAUCAGGUGGUGAGUGUAAGUGCACAAGGGAGCUUGACUGUGAGACAGACAUGUCGAACAGGGACGAAAGUCGGGACUAGUGAUCCGGCACCUACUUGUGGAUGUGGUGUCGCUCAACGGAUAAAAGGUACCCCGGGGAUAACAGGCUGAUCUUCCCCAAGAGUCCAUAUCGACGGGAUGGUUUGGCACCUCGAUGUCGGCUCGUCGCAUCCUGGGGCUGGAGUAGGUCCCAAGGG
Molecule: ribosomal RNA, 1476 nt
Filed under: Corynebacterium sp. HMSC072D12
Lineage: Bacteria; Bacillati; Actinomycetota; Actinomycetes; Mycobacteriales; Corynebacteriaceae
Description: bacterial LSU rRNA
Rfam family: Bacterial large subunit ribosomal RNA
Source: RNAcentral